CAAAGCCUCUGCCUCAGUCUCCUCUUCUGGAAAGUGGGAUUGGAAACCACAUCUGCUUCUCUCCCAGGACUGCUAGGAAGACAAGAUUAGAUGGCAGGUCUGUUUUUCCCCUGGAUUGUAUACUCCUUGAUGUCUGGGUCAUUUCAGCUAGUGAGCUGAGCUUUCAGUGGGUGCUUAGUGGAACAGGUGCUGAAUGGAGUCAGGCUCUAGGGAGGCCAGCGUGUGUUGAUAGCCUUCACUCUUCUCUGCAACAAAUUCCAAAAGUAUAUAGUUGAGCUGACUGCAAGGUACUUGACAUGCAAGAGACUCCACAAAUGGGAUUCGGCCUCUGGAAAGUGGUGGUAGUUCCAGAUUUAUGUGGAUGUUACUUUGUUUUUCCGUAUAAAAUAUAUUAUUUAAACUAUCAAA
This 408-nucleotide long non-coding RNA is filed under the name Pongo abelii (Sumatran orangutan). Its description in RNAcentral is "lincRNA". The record is from RNAcentral. Lineage: Eukaryota; Metazoa; Chordata; Mammalia; Primates; Hominidae.